CCUACGGGAGGCAGCAGUGGGGAAUAUUGCACAAUGGGGGAAACCCUGAUGCAGCGACGCCGCGUGAGUGAAGAAGUAUUUCGGGAUGGAAAGCUGUAUCAGCAGGGAAGAAAAUCACGGUACCUGAUUAAGAAGCCCCGGCUAACUACGUGCCAGCAGCCGCGGUAACACGUAGGGGGCAAGCGUUAUCCGGAUUUACUGGGUGUAAAGGGGGCGUAGACGGCAGCACAAGUCUGGAGUGAAAUGCCGGGGCUUAACCCCGGAAUUGCUUUGGAAACUGUGCAGCUAGAGUGCAGGGAAGGUAAGCGGAAUUCGUAGUGUAGCGGUGAAAUGCGUAGAUAUGACGAAGAACCCCAGUGGCGAAGGCGGCUUACUGCACUGUAACUGACGUUGAGGCUCGAAAGCGUGGGUAGCAAACAGGAUUAGAUACCCUUGUAGUC
This 440-nucleotide ribosomal RNA is filed under the name uncultured bacterium. Its description in RNAcentral is "partial 16S ribosomal RNA". It matches the Rfam family "Bacterial small subunit ribosomal RNA", at positions 338 to 795 of the family's 1533-position model. The record is from RNAcentral.